Molecule: small nuclear RNA, 105 nt
Organism: Gossypium arboreum
Lineage: Eukaryota; Viridiplantae; Streptophyta; Magnoliopsida; Malvales; Malvaceae
Rfam family: U1 spliceosomal RNA
About the family: U1 is a small nuclear RNA (snRNA) component of the spliceosome (involved in pre-mRNA splicing). Its 5' end forms complementary base pairs with the 5' splice junction, thus defining the 5' donor site of an intron.
Source: Rfam
GGUGUCAUUGCACUUCGACGCUGUUGACCUCUGCGAGUAUCUCAAAUGCAGAUACCUCGGGCGUGUAAUUUUUGAUAGUCGGGCUAGCGUUCGCGCUGGCCCGGU